RNAcentral lists this ribosomal RNA (476 nucleotides) under uncultured organism. Its description in RNAcentral is "partial 16S ribosomal RNA". It matches the Rfam family "Bacterial small subunit ribosomal RNA", at positions 334 to 801 of the family's 1533-position model. The record is from RNAcentral.
CACUCCUGCGGGAGGCAGCAGUGGGGAAUAUUGCACAAUGGGCGCAAGCCUGAUGCAGCCAUGCCGCGUGUAUGAAGAAGGCCUUCGGGUUGUAAAGUACUUUCAGCGGGGAGGAAGGCGAUAAGGUUAAUAACCUUGUCGAUUGACGUUACCCGCAGAAGAAGCACCGGCUAACUCCGUGCCAGCAGCCGCGGUAAUACGGAGGGUGCAAGCGUUAAUCGGAAUUACUGGGCGUAAAGCGCACGCAGGCGGUCUGUCAAGUCGGAUGUGAAAUCCCCGGGCUCAACCUGGGAACUGCAUUCGAAACUGGCAGGCUAGAGUCUUGUAGAGGGGGGUAGAAUUCCAGGUGUAGCGGUGAAAUGCGUAGAGAUCUGGAGGAAUACCGGUGGCGAAGGCGGCCCCCUGGACAAAGACUGACGCUCAGGUGCGAAAGCGUGGGGAGCAAACAGGAUUAGAAACCCGAGUAGUCCCAUGAU